CAGCUGAUGAUGAGUUACUCGGAUUCCCCUUCAAGACAUCAGGGAUGAUGGACAAGCCGAGUUUCUGAUGCU
Molecule: small nucleolar RNA, 72 nt
Organism: Coffea eugenioides
Lineage: Eukaryota; Viridiplantae; Streptophyta; Magnoliopsida; Gentianales; Rubiaceae
Product: small nucleolar RNA snoR60
Exons: 1
Source: RefSeq, a predicted model, not a curated record